GACGAACGCUGGCGGCGUGCUUAACACAUGCAAGUCGAACGGAAAGGCCCUGCUUUUGUGGGGUGCUCGAGUGGCGAACGGGUGAGUAACACGUGAGUAACCUGCCCUUGACUUUGGGAUAACUUCAGGAAACUGGGGCUAAUACCGGAUAGGAGCUCCUGCUGCAUGGUGGGGGUUGGAAAGUUUCGGCGGUUGGGGAUGGACUCGCGGCUUAUCAGCUUGUUGGUGGGGUAGUGGCUUACCAAGGCUUUGACGGGUAGCCGGCCUGAGAGGGUGACCGGCCACAUUGGGACUGAGAUACGGCCCAGACUCCUACGGGAGGCAGCAGUGGGGAAUAUUGCACAAUGGGCGGAAGCCUGAUGCAGCAACGCCGCGUGCGGGAUGACGGCCUUCGGGUUGUAAACCGCUUUCGCCUGUGACGAAGCGUGAGUGACGGUAAUGGGUAAAGAAGCACCGGCUAACUACGUGCCAGCAGCCGCGGUGAUACGUAGGGUGCGAGCGUUGUCCGGAUUUAUUGGGCGUAAAGGGCUCGUAGGUGGUUGAUCGCGUCGGAAGUGUAAUCUUGGGGCUUAACCCUGAGCGUGCUUUCGAUACGGGUUGACUUGAGGAAGGUAGGGGAGAAUGGAAUUCCUGGUGGAGCGGUGGAAUGCGCAGAUAUCAGGAGGAACACCAGUGGCGAAGGCGGUUCUCUGGGCCUUUCCUGACGCUGAGGAGCGAAAGCGUGGGGAGCGAACAGGCUUAGAUACCCUGGUAGUCCACGCUGUAAACGGUGGGUACUAGGUGUGGGGUCCAUUCCACGGGUUCCGUGCCGUAGCUAACGCUUUAAGUACCCCGCCUGGGGAGUACGGCCGCAAGGCUAAAACCCAAAGGAAUUGACGGGGCCCCGCACAAGCGGCGGAGCAUGCGGAUUAAUUCGAUGCAACGCGUAGAACCUUACCUGGGUUUGACAUGGAUCGGGAGUGCUCAGAGAUGGGUGUGCCUCUUUUGGGGUCGGUUCACAGGUGGUGCAUGGCUGUCGUCAGCUCGUGUCGUGAGAUGUUGGGUUAAGUCCCGCAACGAGCGCAACCCUUGUUCACUGUUGCCAGCACGUUAUGGUGGGGACUCAGUGGAGACCGCCGGGGUCAACUCGGAGGAAGGUGGGGAUGACGUCAAGUCGUCAUGCCCCUUAUGUCCAGGGCUUCACGCAUGCUACAAUGGCUGGUACAGAGAGUGGCGAGCCUGUGAGGGUGAGCGAAUCUCGGAAAGCCGGUCUCAGUUCGGAUUGGGGUCUGCAACUCGACCUCAUGAAGUCGGAGUCGCUAGUAAUCGCAGAUCAGCAACGCUGCGGUGAAUACGUUCCCGGGGCU
Molecule: ribosomal RNA, 1346 nt
Filed under: uncultured bacterium
Lineage: Bacteria
Description: partial 16S ribosomal RNA
Rfam family: Bacterial small subunit ribosomal RNA
Source: RNAcentral